AACGAACGCUGGCGGCAUGCCUAACACAUGCAAGUCGAACGAGACCUUCGAGUCUAGUGGCGCACGGGUGCGUAACGCGUGGGAACCUGCCCUUAGGUUCGGAAUAACUCCCCGAAAGGGGUGCUAAUACCGGAUAAUGUCUUCGGACCAAAGAUUUAUCGCCUUUGGAUGGGCCCGCGUUGGAUUAGCUAGUUGGUAGGGUAAAAGCCUACCAAGGCGACGAUCCAUAGCUGGUCUGAGAGGAUGAUCAGCCACACUGGGACUGAGACACGGCCCAGACUCCGAGGGGGGGGAGAGGGGGGGAAAAUUAGACAGGGGGCGAAAGCCUGAUCCAGCAAGCCGGGGGGGGGGAGGAGGGCUUUGGGGUUUUAAAGCUUUUUUACCCGGAAUAAAAGAGAGGAACCAGGGAGAAAAAGCCGGGGCAAUACCCG
RNAcentral lists this ribosomal RNA (431 nucleotides) under uncultured bacterium. RNAcentral's name for it is "partial 16S ribosomal RNA". It matches the Rfam family "Bacterial small subunit ribosomal RNA", at positions 29 to 505 of the family's 1533-position model. The record is from RNAcentral.